Molecule: ribosomal RNA, 492 nt
Filed under: uncultured bacterium
Lineage: Bacteria
Description: partial 16S ribosomal RNA
Rfam family: Bacterial small subunit ribosomal RNA
Source: RNAcentral
GAUGAACGCUGGCGACAGGCUUAACACAUGCAAGUCGAGGGGAAACGCCAUCGGAAGCUUGCUUUUGAUGGGCGUCGACCGGCGCACGGGUGAGUAACACGUAUCCAACCUGCUCAUCACGUGGUGAUAACCUUGCGAAUGUAAGACUAAUACCCAAUGAUAUCUCUAGAAGACAUCGGAAAGAGAGUAAAGAUUUAUCGGUGAUGGAUGGUGAUGCGUCUGAUUAGCUUGUUGGCGGGGUAACGGCCCACCAAGGCAACGAUCAGUAGGGGUUCUGAGGGUAAGGUACCCGACAUUGGAGCCGAGACACGGUCCAAAGUGCUACGGGACGCAGCAGUGAGGAAUAUAGGUCACUGGAGGAGAGCCUGACCCAGCCAAGUAGGGUGAAGGAAGCCGGCGCUAUGGGUUGUAAACUGCUUGUAUAAGGGAAUAAAGUGAGAGUCGUGAGUCUUUUUGUCUGUACCUUAUGAAUAAGCACCGGCUAAUUCCGUG